CAGCCGCCGCGGUAAUACGUAGGGGGCGAGCGUUGUCCGGAAUUAUUGGGCGUAAAGCGCGCGCAGGCGGUCCCUUAAGUCUGAUGUGAAAGCCCACGGCUCAACCGUGGAGGGUCAUUGGAAACUGGGGGACUUGAGUGCAGAAGAGGAGAGCGGAAUUCCACGUGUAGCGGUGAAAUGCGUAGAGAUGUGGAGGAACACCAGUGGCGAAGGCGGCUCUCUGGUCUGUAACUGACGCUGAGGCGCGAAAGCGUGGGGAGCAAACAGGAUUAGAUCCCCUGGUAGUCCACGCCGUAAACGAUGAGUGCUAAGUGUUAGAGGGGUUAAACCCUUUAGUGCUGUAGCUAACGCGUUAAGCACUCCGCCUGGGGAGUACGGCCGCAAGGCUGAAACUUAAAGGAAUUGGCGGG
This 410-nucleotide ribosomal RNA is filed under the name uncultured microorganism. RNAcentral's name for it is "bacterial SSU rRNA". It matches the Rfam family "Bacterial small subunit ribosomal RNA", at positions 509 to 917 of the family's 1533-position model. The record is from RNAcentral.